CCCUACGGGGGGCAGCAGUGGGGGAUAUUGCACAAUGGGGGAAACCCUGAUGCAGCGAUGCCGCGUGGGUGAAGAAGCGCCUCGGCGCGUAAAGCCCUGUCAGCAGGGAAGAAAAUGACGGUACCUGAAGAAGAAGCCCCGGCUAACUACGUGCCAGCAGCCGCGGUAAUACGUAGGGGGCAAGCGUUAUCCGGAUUUACUGGGUGUAAAGGGGGCGCAGACGGCGAUGCAAGCCAGGAGUGAAAGCCCGGGGCCCAACCCCGGGACUGCUCUUGGAACUGCGUGGCUGGAGGGCAGGAGGGGCG
RNAcentral lists this ribosomal RNA (305 nucleotides) under uncultured bacterium. RNAcentral describes it as "bacterial SSU rRNA". It matches the Rfam family "Bacterial small subunit ribosomal RNA", at positions 337 to 659 of the family's 1533-position model. The record is from RNAcentral.